Molecule: ribosomal RNA, 126 nt
Filed under: uncultured bacterium
Lineage: Bacteria
Description: partial 16S ribosomal RNA
Rfam family: Bacterial small subunit ribosomal RNA
Source: RNAcentral
GGGCCCGCACAAGCGGCGGAGCAUGCGGAUUAAUUCGAUGCAACGCGAAGAACCUUACCAAGGCUUGACAUAUACCGAAAACUCAUGGAGACAUGGGGUCCGCAAGGGCGGUAUACAGGUGGUGCA